This 194-nucleotide ribosomal RNA is filed under the name uncultured Sulfitobacter sp. RNAcentral's name for it is "partial 16S ribosomal RNA". It matches the Rfam family "Bacterial small subunit ribosomal RNA", at positions 94 to 315 of the family's 1533-position model. Lineage: Bacteria; Pseudomonadati; Pseudomonadota; Alphaproteobacteria; Rhodobacterales; Roseobacteraceae. The record is from RNAcentral.
CAGCGCGGACGGGUUAGUAACCGUGGGAAAUACCCCUUUCUACGGAAUAGCCUCGGGAAAUGAGAGUAAUACCGUAUAAGCCCUUCGGGGGAAGAUUUAUCGGGAAGGGAUUGGCCCGCGUUAGAUUAGAUAGUUGGUGGGGUAAUGCCUACCAAGUCUACGAUUAUAGCUGGUUUAGAGAUGAUAGCACACUG